Molecule: ribosomal RNA, 433 nt
Filed under: uncultured bacterium
Lineage: Bacteria
Description: partial 16S ribosomal RNA
Rfam family: Bacterial small subunit ribosomal RNA
Source: RNAcentral
AACGAACGCUGGCGGCAUGCCUAACACAUGCAAGUCGAACGAGACCUUCGGGUCUAGUGGCGCACGGGUGCGUAACGCGUGGGAACCUGCCCUUAGGUUCGGAAUAACUCCCCGAAAGGGGUGCCAAUACCGGAUAAUGUCUUCGGACUAAAGAUUUAUCGCCUUUGGAUGGGCCCGCGUUGGAUUAGCUAGUUGGUAGGGUAAAAGCCUACCAAGGCGACGAUCCAUAGCUGGUCUGAGAGGAUGAUCAGCCACACUGGGACUGAGACACGGCCCAGACUCCUACGGGAGGCAGCAGUGGGGAAUAUUGGACAAUGGGCGAAAGCCUGGUCCAGCAAUGCCGCGUGAGUGAUGAAGGCCUUAGGGUUGUAAAGCUCUUUUACCCGGGAUGAUAAUGACAGUACCGGGAGAAUAAGCUCCGGCUAACUCCGUG